This 441-nucleotide ribosomal RNA is filed under the name uncultured bacterium. RNAcentral's name for it is "partial 16S ribosomal RNA". It matches the Rfam family "Bacterial small subunit ribosomal RNA", at positions 339 to 795 of the family's 1533-position model. The record is from RNAcentral.
CUACGGGCGGCUGCAGUGGGGAAUAUUGGGCAAUGGGCGCAAGCCUGACCCAGCAACGCCGCGUGAGGGAAGAAGGUUUUCGGAUUGUAAACCUCUGUCCUUGGGGACGAAGAAGUGACGGUACCCAAGGAGGAAGCUCCGGCUAACUACGUGCCAGCAGCCGCGGUAAUACGUAGGGAGCAAGCGUUGUCCGGAAUUACUGGGCGUAAAGGGUGCGUAGGCGGCAUAUUAAGUCAGGUGUGAAAUACUCGGGCUCAACCCGAGGGGUGCAUUUGAAACUGAUAAGCUUGAGUGUGAGAGAGGAAAGUGGAAUUCCUAGUGUAGCGGUGGAAUGCGUAGAUAUUAGGAGGAACACCAGUGGCGAAGGCGACUUUCUGGCUCAUAACUGACGCUGAGGCACGAAAGCGUGGGGAGCAAACAGGAUUAGAUACCCCUGUAGUC